UGGGGAAUAUUGGACAAUGGGCGAAAGCCUGAUCCAGCCAUCCCGCGUGUGUGAAGAAGGUCUUCGGAUUGUAAAGCACUUUAAGUUGGGAGGAAGGGCAGUAAGCGAAUACCUUGCUGUUUUGACGUUACCGACAGAAUAAGCACCGGCUAACUCUGUGCCAGCAGCCGCGGUAAUACAGAGGGUGCAAGCGUUAAUCGGAAUUACUGGGCGUAAAGCGCGCGUAGGUGGUUCGUUAAGUUGAAUGUGAAAGCCCCGGGCUCAACCUGGGAACUGCAUCCAAAACUGGCGAGCUAGAGUAGGGCAGAGGGUGGUGGAAUUUCCUGUGUAGCGGUGAAAUGCGUAGAUAUAGGAAGGAACACCAGUGGCGAAGGCGACCACCUGGGCUCAUACUGACACUGAGGUGCGAAAGCGUGGGGAGCAAACAGG
RNAcentral lists this ribosomal RNA (429 nucleotides) under Pseudomonadota bacterium. Its description in RNAcentral is "Proteobacteria bacterium partial 16S ribosomal RNA". It matches the Rfam family "Bacterial small subunit ribosomal RNA", at positions 355 to 776 of the family's 1533-position model. Lineage: Bacteria; Pseudomonadati; Pseudomonadota. The record is from RNAcentral.